Long non-coding RNA from Mauremys reevesii (Reeves's turtle), 523 nucleotides. RefSeq lists it as uncharacterized. The record is from RefSeq and is a predicted model, not a curated record. The transcript is spliced from 3 exons. Lineage: Eukaryota; Metazoa; Chordata; Testudines; Geoemydidae.
GACGCUUAGAAAAACUUCUCACAGAUGAAAGACUGACUUUCCAUUAGUGUUCCACAGGAGGUAACUGGCAGAAAAGAAAUGGAAGACUAGAAGAGAUGAUUGCUCAGAAUUGCCAAAUUAAGAAAAUGCGAGCUCCCAUCUCCAAAGACAGUGCUGUCAAAACCACUGAGGAAAUAUCCCAGCCACAAGAGGGAAUAGCAGACCAGCUUUUUUCAUAAUGCUCAUGGACUAAUGGCAUCAUGAUCUUCCUUGAGAAUCAACCCUGUGGACACUGGAGAGUUCUAUCUUUGACCAUGCAGCAGUAAGAACGAACUGGAGAGGCGGUCAAUCUGAACGGCCCCUUAUACUCGCGGAUCAAAGCACAAGAAGGAAAAGAGUGCAGACCAACAGAAACUACUAGAAAAAAAUCUUCUUAGGCACAUGAGUACCUAGAGUAGAAUACACACAGGGACCAGCACAUGAAGAACAACUGAUUUUAAAUGGGAUAGGAAAAGGCUCAUGAGCACAGAACAGAAGAAUUGUA